GUAACAAGGUCUCCGUAGGUGAACCUGCGGAGGGAUCAUUA
RNAcentral lists this ribosomal RNA (41 nucleotides) under Curvularia lunata. Its description in RNAcentral is "partial 18S ribosomal RNA". It matches the Rfam family "Eukaryotic small subunit ribosomal RNA", at positions 1791 to 1831 of the family's 1831-position model. RNAcentral also lists the same sequence under 40 other names. Lineage: Eukaryota; Fungi; Ascomycota; Dothideomycetes; Pleosporales; Pleosporaceae. The record is from RNAcentral.